UUUUUUUUUUUUUAUCUCUUGCAGGAAAUUUCAUCUUUAAACAAUGGCAAGGGCUUACGGAGAAGACUCAGACUGUUUAAGGAAUAUAAUCUUCAAACACUGGGAAGGGAUAACCAGCCAGCAUAUGGAGACAUCUUCAAUUGCUUUAACAAAGAAUUGUCUAAGCAGGUGUCCUUUUGGUGUCUUUGCAAGUGAGGAUCGGUGGAGGACUUUGUGUGUUUCCAUGGGGUUUAUUUAUGAUUUUCACUUUAACUCUUACAAAUUAACAAAGGUUCUUCUAAUUCUAUAUGUGCAGACUUGUGAGAUGGUUUGGAGGAUAAUGUUCCAUUACAAAAACUUGGUCGCCGUGCGUGCUCACAGUGUAACAACAUGAAGCUGAUUCUAUAGUGAUUGAUGCUCUUUGACUCUACAAAGGUUUUCACGAUGGAUCUCCCUGAAUUGCAUCUUUAAAAAAUGGCAAGGGAUAGCCAUCAAAGGGAGAAAUCUUGAGUGUGUAAGCAGGUAAAAAUGGCAAGGGAUAGCCAUCAAAGGAACCUUCUUUUCACUUGGAGUUUGCAAAAGACAUCUUCAAUGGAGUUUGAAAAAGACAUCUUCAAUGAUCCUAUGGAAGGUUCAAGGCUCCUACUGAUGCUGGAAGAUUCCGAGCUGAACUACAACCGGCUGGUUGAGGGUUUAGCACUCACUUAUCUGGCAAGUAUGUGUUCACUGAGAGGAGAGAUGAAGAAGAUUUAGAACAGAGGGAUGGUUUACAAACUUCUUCAUUCUUAAACCAUACUUGGUUUACAAACUAACGAUGGUUCUUCUAAUUCUAUGUGCAGAUCGGUGAGAUGGUUUGAAGAAUAAUGUUUCAUAACAAAAAAACUUGGCCGGCGACCGUGCUCACAGUGCAACAACAUUAAACUGAUUCUUGUCCACUUCAAAUUAUACAUCCAUAAGUGUUGCUAGCUUCUCCAGAUGGAGUUAUAAGGUUCCCUAUCAUCCGAUGGAAAAAAAUCUCUUCUUCAUCUGUAAGUAAACUCAAAACCCUCUUUGCCUUUCUUUGUUUUGUUCUGUUUCAAGUUUACUAAAUCCGAUCCAGACAAUGUGCGACUUUGCAACUCUUGUUUGGAUGCAUGCCCGGGGAUUUUCCAUCAUGACCGGAGAAUGCCUGAUAUUUCAGAUCCUAUACUGCAGAUUUAUAUGGUGUUGAUCUACUUUCUUUUGAGUAUUGUCACUGUGGUGUCAAAGAUAUUAUGACUCAAAUGUGAAUGCUACCGUUUGAAUACCUGAGAAUAAUAUAGCCGAGAAUUAUAUAGUUUUGUAUCUUAGUUGAGCUGUCGUGAUACGUCUUUGGCGGUCAAACCGGUGUUUGAUCGUUUCGAAUCAGUCAUGUUUACAUCAGGCACGUUGAGCCCAGUUGAUCUUCACCCUUGUCCAUUCAUGUUGUUAGUUGAAGUUUUAAGCAUCUUGUUAGUUGAAGCUUUAAGAUGUCAAUGACAGAGACUGCAUCUGCCCUAUGGUGCUUACUCGGGGAAGGUAUGCGGUUUAUUAAAAAAUAUCCUGAACACUUACCUUAUUUGACCGCCAAAGACAGUCAGCUUUCUGUUAGCACCAAAUCUGACAUGAGAAGUGAUCCUGGACUCCUGGUGUUGUGAGGAGUUACGGAAAGCUUUUUGGUAGAGAUGGUAUCUAUUGUUCCUGAUGGAGUUGUCUGCUUCUUUUUUAGUUACUCAUACAUGGAUGGCAUUAUUGCUACAUGGAAUGAAACUGCAAUUCUGAAGGAAAUAUUGCAACAGAAGCUUGUUUUCAUCGAAACACUAGAUGUUAUAGAAACAACAUUGGCAGUGGAUAAUUAUCGCAGGGCUUGCGAUUGCCGAAGAGGCUUCUCACGUAGUCACGUUUACUCCUCCGCCAACUGAAACCCUUUAAUCGCCGCAGAGGUUUCUCACGUUGACUCCUCCGUCAACGAAAACCAAACAGAUGAUUGACAUAGAAUCAAUUCAUAUGAGAUAUCUUCAUGUAAGCAAACAUGGCAAAGUACAUGAUGGUUUUUAGUCAAUAGUGUGUGCAACGGAGAAGCAAUUUAAAAAAAAAAACUAAAGUACGUCGCUCGAAGGGCCCCUAUUGAACCAAUUCAAGUCCAUGAAACCUCUAUCCCUCCAUUAUUUUUCAUUCGGGCCUUAUAUCCAUGUCAUUUUCCGUU
This is a non-coding RNA of Camelina sativa (false flax), 2182 nucleotides long. The record is from RefSeq and is a predicted model, not a curated record. Lineage: Eukaryota; Viridiplantae; Streptophyta; Magnoliopsida; Brassicales; Brassicaceae.